This 497-nucleotide ribosomal RNA is filed under the name uncultured bacterium. RNAcentral describes it as "partial 16S ribosomal RNA". It matches the Rfam family "Bacterial small subunit ribosomal RNA", at positions 28 to 507 of the family's 1533-position model. The record is from RNAcentral.
GACGAACGCUGGCGGCGUGCCUAAUACAUGCAAGUUGAGCGCUGAAGGUUGGUACUUGUACCAACUGGAUGAGCAGCGAACGGGUGAGUAACGCGUGGGGAAUCUGCCUUUGAGCGGGGGACAACAUUUGGAAACGAAUGCUAGUACCGCAUAAAAACUUUAAACACAAGUUUUAAGUUUGAAAGAUGCAAUUGCAUCACUCAAAGAUGAUCCCGCGUUGUAUUAGCUAGUUGGUGAGGUAAAGGCUCACCAAGGCGAUGAUACAUAGCCGACCUGAGAGGGUGAUCGGCCAAAUUGGGACUGGGACACGGCCCAAACUCCUACGGGAGGCAGCCGUAGGGAAUCUUCGGAAAUGGACGGAAGUCUGACCGAGCAACGCCGCGUGAGUGAAGAAGGUUUUCAGAUCGUAAAACUCUGUUGGUAGAGAAGAACGUUGGUGAGAGUGGAAAGCUCAUCAAGUGACGGUAACUACCCAGAAAGGGACGGCUAACUACGUG